AUUGAACGCUGGCGGCAGGCCUAACACAUGCAAGUCGAGCGGAUGAAGGGAGCUUGCUCCUGGAUUCAGCGGCGGACGGGUGAGUAAUGCCUAGGAAUCUGCCUGGUAGUGGGGGAUAACGUCCGGAAACGGGCGCUAAUACCGCAUACGUCCUGAGGGAGAAAGUGGGGGAUCUUCGGACCUCACGCUAUCAGAUGAGCCUAGGUCGGAUUAGCUAGUUGGUGGGGUAAAGGCCUACCAAGGCGACGAUCCGUAACUGGUCUGAGAGGAUGAUCAGUCACACUGGAACUGAGACACGGUCAAGACUCCUAAGGGAGGCAGCAGUGGGGAAUAUUGGACAAUGGGCGAAAGCCUGAUACAGCCAUGCCGCGUGUGUGAAGAAGGUCUUCGGAUUGUAAAGCACUUUAAGUGGGGAGGAAGGGCAGUAAGUUAAUACCUUGCUGUUUUGACGUUACCAACAGAAUAAGCACCGGCUAACUUCGUG
This 484-nucleotide ribosomal RNA is filed under the name uncultured bacterium. RNAcentral's name for it is "partial 16S ribosomal RNA". It matches the Rfam family "Bacterial small subunit ribosomal RNA", at positions 30 to 507 of the family's 1533-position model. The record is from RNAcentral.